RNAcentral lists this non-coding RNA (646 nucleotides) under Stegodyphus mimosarum. RNAcentral's name for it is "eukaryotic small subunit ribosomal RNA". It matches the Rfam family "Eukaryotic small subunit ribosomal RNA", at positions 1 to 591 of the family's 1831-position model. The record is from Rfam by way of RNAcentral. Lineage: Eukaryota; Metazoa; Arthropoda; Arachnida; Araneae; Eresidae.
UACCUGGUUGAUCCUGUCAGUAGUCAUAUGCUUGUCUCAAAGAUUAAGCCAUGCAUGUCUAAGUACAUGCCGUAUUAAGGCGAAACCGCGAAUGGCUCAUUAAAUCAGUUAUGGUUCCUUGGAUCGUACCUUACUACUUGGAUAACUGUGGCAAUUCUAGAGCUAAUACAUGCAGCAGAGCUCCGACCCUCUGGGGACGAGCGCUUUUAUUAGACCAAAACCAAUCGGACCUCGUGUCCGUAUUAUGUGGUGACUCUGUAUAACUUUGGGCUGAUCGCACGGGCUCGUCCCGGCGACGUAUCUUUCAAGUGUCUGCCUUAUCAACUGUCGAUCGUAGGUUACGUGCCUACCAUGGUCGUAACGGGUGACGGGGAAUCAGGGUUCGAUUCCGGAGAGGGAGCCUGAGAAACGGCUACCACAUCCAAGGAAGGCAGCAGGCCCGCAAAUUACCCACUCCCAGAACGGAAAGGUAGUGACGAAAAAUAACAAUACGGGACUCUUUUGAGACCCCGCAAUUGGAAUGAGUACACUCUAAAUCCUUUAACGAGGAUCAAUUGGUUGUGGCAAUUAUAGAAAACAUUUCUGAGUAACUAAGUUCUCAAGAAGAUAUUAACUUGUUUCAUAAAUCACUGUCUCAAGAUUAUAC